UACGUAGGUGGCAAGCGUUGUCCGGAAUUAUUGGGCGUAAAGCGCGCGCAGGUGGUUUCUUAAGUCUGAUGUGAAAGCCCCCGGCUCAACUGGGGAGGGUCACUCGAUACUGAUCGACUUGAAGGCAGGAGAGGGAAGCGGAAUUCCCGGUGUAGUGGUGAAAUGCGUAGAUAUCGGGAGGAACACCAGUGGCGAAGGCGGCUUCCUGGCCUGUUCUUGACGCUGAGGCGCGAAAGCGUGGGGAGCAAACAGG
Molecule: ribosomal RNA, 253 nt
Filed under: uncultured bacterium
Lineage: Bacteria
Description: partial 16S ribosomal RNA
Rfam family: Bacterial small subunit ribosomal RNA
Source: RNAcentral